Molecule: non-coding RNA, 574 nt
Filed under: Pan troglodytes (chimpanzee)
Lineage: Eukaryota; Metazoa; Chordata; Mammalia; Primates; Hominidae
Source: RNAcentral
UGAGAAGCAAGCUGGGGCCACCUCACCUGAUGACAUGGUUGAUGACAAUUGGGUCAGGGGGCAAUAGCAGGGCUGUGAGGCGCUGGGGGAUCUCAGAAAACUUCAGCCGGGGACAAUCAAAAAUCUGAAGCAGGACAAUUGGGGAGAGAGAGAUCACUCUUCUUGAAGAGAUCAUCAUGCAGCUGUAGAUCCUUUUGUUCUGGAAAGGCCACAAGAAGCUGAGAGGAAGUCUGAUUCCUCAGUGCGCAUGGGGAUGGGAUUGGGGUGGGCUGGUCUGGUGGUGGAGCCACCGGUAUGGCUGACAAGGUAGGGGGUGGGUCAGUGUGGGGCAGGGGUUGAGAGUGCGGGCCCUGGGUCAGCCUGCUUAUGUAUCAGUCCUGCCUCUGCCACUUACUAUGCAACCUGGAGCAAGUUAACACCUCAGGGCUCAGUGUCUUCAUCUCUAGAGUGGGGAUGAAAAGAAUACCUAUCUCCCAGGGCUGCCGUGAGAAGUCAGUGAACUAAUACACAUAAAGUGCUUGGGACAGUGCCUGGCACAUGGUAAGUGCCCAAUAAAUAUCAACUGCUAUUUUUA